AACGAACGCUGGCGGCGCGCCUAAUACAUGCAAGUCGAGCGAGAAGACGUAGCAAUACGUUUGUAAAGCGGCGAACGGGUGAGGAAUACAUGGGUAACCUACCCUCGAGUGGGGAAUAACUAGCCGAAAGGUUAGCUAAUACCGCGUACGCUCCUUGGACUUCGGUUCAGGGAGGAAAGCGAUACCGUGGGUAUCGCGCUCUUGGAUGGGCUCAUGUCCUAUCAGCUUGUUGGUGAGGAACGGCUCACCAAGGCUUCGACGGGUAGCUGGUCUGAGAGGACGAUCAGCCACACUGGCACUGCGACACAGGCCAGACUCCUACGGGAGGCAGCAGUAAGGAAUAUUGCGCAAUGGGCGAAAGCCUGACGCAGCGACGCCGCGUGGGGGA
Molecule: ribosomal RNA, 388 nt
Filed under: uncultured bacterium
Lineage: Bacteria
Description: bacterial SSU rRNA
Rfam family: Bacterial small subunit ribosomal RNA
Source: RNAcentral